AGGGGACACCGGAGGUGACCCUGAGCCAGGGCGGGAAGCGGAGAAUUCCAGGUGAGGGAACACCAGCUCCGCCGGGAGAAAACCCCUCCUAAAAGGCUAAAUUCCAACGGAGGCUGACGGAAAUAAACGCAAACGGAUCUUGGAGCGCUCCCCUCCUCAUCCUCCCCUUCCCCAAACCUCCGGGCUGAAUAAAUCCACGGAUUCCUGCAGUUCCCACUUUCCACAUGAAGUCUCCAAAGUGCCCCAGGGCUCGAGUAAAGCUUUGGGGAAGGAGCCCCAAUUCCAGCAGGGAGAAUUCCUUUAUCUUUGGUCUGCCUAGAAGAAAGACACCAGGGAGGCCCCAGCUCUCCCAAAUUCCACCUGGACACAGCCUGGCUUAUCCAAGCGCUCCCACAGCUGCGGGGAAGGGCUCCCUCCCUGCCCAGGAGCAGAAAAGCUCUCGAGGUUUUGCAGUUUUGCAGUCUAGAGCUCAUUCUUUAAUCGAACGGAGGGAAAAAACAAACAAACAAAAAAAAAAAAAAAAACCAAACAAAAAAAAACUGAAAGAAAAAGAAAAAAGAACAAAACAAAAAAACCCCAACCAGUGCAGAUGUUCUCCAAAAAACCCCAAAACACCACCUGAUGCCACAUGCCAGGAAGUACCUUUGUCCAAGAGGAGCCUGUCCCGAGCUGGGGCUCUGUCUCUUUUUGGGAAUUCUCGGCGGGGAAUCCUCGGGAGCUCUCCCGGCGCUCGCUGGCUCGGAGGGAGGGAGGAGGGAGGGAAGGAGCUGCUCUCCGAGUCCGCCUCGGCGCUGUCCUGCUGCUGCCGCUCCUGCAGCCGCGCCCGCAGCGCCUGCAGCCGCCCCAGCAGCGCCUGGUAGUCAAAGUGGCCGCGCUUCUCCCCGAAGGGGUCCUGCGGAGGGCAGAGCCGCGGGGUCAGGGCUGGCGGGGCGAAAUUCCACGGGGAAAUGCCAGCCUUGGAGGGGAGAGGGCGGUGAGAUUCCACUGGGAAGGAUCCCGGAGCUUCCCCUGGACAGGAUCCUUGAAUUUCUCCUGGAGAGGAUCCUUGAAUUCCCCUG
This 1058-nucleotide long non-coding RNA is filed under the name Chloebia gouldiae (Gouldian finch). Its description in RNAcentral is "Erythrura gouldiae (Gouldian finch) lncRNA (ENSEGOG00005010630.1)". Lineage: Eukaryota; Metazoa; Chordata; Aves; Passeriformes; Passeridae. The record is from RNAcentral.